GUGUCCCUGUCCUCAUGUGUCCAUCUGUCCCCGUGUCCGUGUUUCCCUGUGUCCAUCUGUCCCCAUGUCCGUGUGUUGAAGUCCGCAGGUGUCCGUGCCUUGCAGCACGCUGUCUGUGUGUCCCUGUGUCUGUCUGUCCCCGUAUCUGUGUCCCCAUGUCUGUGUCCAUGUGUCCCUGCCCUCGUCCGUGUGUCCCCAUGUCCCCGUGUCUGUCUGUCCCCGUGUCCGUGUGUCCCUGUGUCCAUCUGUCCCCAUGUCUGUGUGUCCCCAUGUUGUGUGUCCAAGUCCGCAGGUGUCCGUGUGUCCCUGUCCUCAUGUGUCCGUUUGUCCGCGUGUCUGUGUGUCCCCGUGUCCAUGUGUCUGUGUCUACAUGUGUCCAUGUGUCCCCAUGUCCCCGUGAGUCCCCAUGUCCCCAUGUCCAUCUGUCCCUGUAUCUGUGUCCCCAUGUCCGUGCCUCCCUGUGUCCGUCUGUCCCCACAUCUGUAUCCCCAUGUCCUCGUGUCCCU
Molecule: long non-coding RNA, 506 nt
Filed under: Numida meleagris (helmeted guineafowl)
Lineage: Eukaryota; Metazoa; Chordata; Aves; Galliformes; Numididae
Description: lncRNA (ENSNMEG00000000123.1)
Source: RNAcentral